GAUGAACGCUGGCGGCGUGCCUAAUACAUGCAAGUAGAACGCUGAAGGAAGGAGCUUGCUCUUUCCGGAUGAGUUGCGAACGGGUGAGUAACGCGUAGGUAACCUGCCUGGUAGCGGGGGAUAACUAUUGGAAACGAUAGCUAAUACCGCAUAACAGUAGAUGUUGCAUGAUAUCUACUUAAAAGGUGCAAUUGCACCACUACCAGAUGGACCUGCGUUGUAUUAGCUAGUUGGUGAGGUAACGGCUCACCAAGGCGACGAUACAUAGCCGACCUGAGAGGGUGAUCGGCCACACUGGGACUGGGACACGGCCCAGACUCCUACGGGAGGCAGCAGUAGGGAAUCUUCGGCAAUGGACGGAAGUCUGACCGAGCAACGCCGCGUGAGUGAAGAAGGUUUUCGAAUCGUAAAGCUCUGUUGUAAGAGAAGAACGAGUGUGAGAGUGGAAAGUUCACACUGUGACGGUAUCUUACCAGAAAGGGACGGCUAACUACGUG
RNAcentral lists this ribosomal RNA (497 nucleotides) under uncultured bacterium. RNAcentral's name for it is "partial 16S ribosomal RNA". It matches the Rfam family "Bacterial small subunit ribosomal RNA", at positions 28 to 507 of the family's 1533-position model. The record is from RNAcentral.